RNA transcript from Gadus morhua (Atlantic cod), 1135 nucleotides. RefSeq lists it as uncharacterized. The transcript is spliced from 3 exons. Lineage: Eukaryota; Metazoa; Chordata; Actinopteri; Gadiformes; Gadidae. The record is from RefSeq and is a predicted model, not a curated record.
UCCUUUUCAGAAACACAUGAAGAAGCACACUCGGUCUAGGUUAAUUACGAGGGUACUCUCCUAGAACGUACUCUCAGAACCCACCAGGCCAGGCCAGUAUAGUUAUUAUUUUCUGUAUAAUAUUUGUGUAAAGCAAACAGUUAGGAGUCACAUGCCGAUUAUCCUACACAAUUCUCUAUCUAGCAGGCAACAGGAAAAACCAACAAGAACAACCAGAAACAACCUUUGCCAACAGAAAGUGGGCAAAAUAAGGUAAUCAGUGGGCACAGCUUAAACCAGCCAAGUCCAAACACACUCAAGGAGAGAUCUCCUGCACGGCAGUGGAGCUGCCUUGUCAUGUUCAUUGACGGCAACUUCAGCAAUAAACUGGAUUUCCACCAGCCUGCGUCCCGGGUUUGAGGGGUCCAGAAAAGUUGCAGAAUCGCAUUGUUCUUAUACCGUCUCAGCUGGAAGUCAUGGAGUGGUCCUUCGUGAAGUUGUAUCUCAUCGGAUCGGCGUUGAGCGCCUUCACGGUCUUCUUCUCCUUGAUGGACUCCUUCGGUGGACUCAUGUACGGCCAGGAUGACCUUAGGGUGUGGGCCCAGGACCACCAGAGACCACUCACCGCCCCCAGCAGUAGGACAGGACCGACAGGAGCGAAAGACGAGGACUCGUCGUAAAUGGGGGACCUACACAUGGAGGGAAUUGUAUAGCCGAUGAAGAGCAGGUGUCAGAUGGCGCAUUUGUGUCACACACUAACCCACUGUCCUUAUUCUUUAAAGAAACACAUUGUUUCUUGCACUAAGUCUGUUACUUGUAUAUAUGUAUUACCUUAAUGUAUGGAUCAGAAUGACCAAGUCCAAGGCUUAGGUGCUGUAAAUGUAAAAAUGCUGUGUGUGUUAAGUCGUAUUAUUUAAAUAUUUAUUAUAUUCUGAUAAAUGUGUGAAACACUGUAAUGGGUCUAAGUAAUGGGUCACUGUAAUGGGUUAAAGUCAAACACUGUUUGACUUUAAAGACGUUUCUUGCUGCAACCCUAUCCAAGAAUCAGUUUUCUAUACCCAACAAAGGUUGUCAAAGUCUAAUAAGACUAUAAGGCAAAUGUGGCUCACUUUCCUUAUUGUUGAUAUUUUACAUAUUAAAGUUGUAUAACAACCUA